CGGCUUACCUCGCGUUCUGAGAGCUCAAGUCCCCGCCACCUCUGUCGGGACUUUGACAAGCCAUCUGAGAUCGCGAUUAAAGCUGAU
Molecule: microRNA precursor, 87 nt
Filed under: Mesocestoides corti
Lineage: Eukaryota; Metazoa; Platyhelminthes; Cestoda; Cyclophyllidea; Mesocestoididae
Description: bantam stem-loop (mco-bantam)
Gene: mco-bantam
Source: miRBase by way of RNAcentral